Molecule: ribosomal RNA, 465 nt
Filed under: Vreelandella stevensii
Lineage: Bacteria; Pseudomonadati; Pseudomonadota; Gammaproteobacteria; Oceanospirillales; Halomonadaceae
Description: partial 16S ribosomal RNA
Rfam family: Bacterial small subunit ribosomal RNA
Source: RNAcentral
CCUACGGGAGGCAGCAGUGGGGAAUAUUGGACAAUGGGCGAAAGCCUGAUCCAGCCAUGCCGCGUGUGUGAAGAAGGCCUUCGGGUUGUAAAGCACUUUCAGUGGGGAAGAAAGCCUUGGGGCUAAUACCCUCGAGGAAGGACAUCACCCACAGAAGAAGCACCGGCUAACUCCGUGCCAGCAGCCGCGGUAAUACGGAGGGUGCGAGCGUUAAUCGGAAUUACUGGGCGUAAAGCGCGCGUAGGCGGUCUGAUAAGCCGGUUGUGAAAGCCCCGGGCUCAACCUGGGAACGGCAUCCGGAACUGUCAGGCUAGAGUGCAGGAGAGGAAGGUAAAAUUCCCGGUGUAGCGGUGAAAUGCGUAGAGAUCGGGAGGAAUACCAGUGGCGAAGGCGGCCUUCUGGACUGACACUGACGCUGAGGUGCGAAAGCGUGGGUAGCAAACAGGAUUAGAUACCCUUGUAGUC